RNAcentral lists this ribosomal RNA (770 nucleotides) under uncultured Neocallimastigales. RNAcentral describes it as "partial large subunit ribosomal RNA". The stretch from base 4 to 660 matches the Rfam family "Eukaryotic large subunit ribosomal RNA", at positions 24 to 664 of the family's 3401-position model. The record is from RNAcentral. Lineage: Eukaryota; Fungi; Neocallimastigomycota; Neocallimastigomycetes; Neocallimastigales.
GUACACGCUGUGACUAGCAUAUCAAUAAGCGGAGGAAAAGAAACUAACAAGGAUUCCCUUAGUAACGGCGAGUGAAGCGGGAAGAGCUCAAAUUUGAAAUCUUGAAAGGUCACCUUUCACGAAUUGUAGUUUAAAGAAGUGUUUUCUGUUACGAUCGUAAUAUAAGUUCUUUGGAAUAGGACAUCACAGAGGGUGAGAAUCCCGUCUAUGAUUGCGAUUUGUAGCUUUGUGAUACACUUUCAAAGAGUCGGGUUGUUUGGGAAUGCAGCCCAAAACGGGAGGUAAAUUUCUCCUAAGGCUAAAUAUUGGCGAGAGACCGAUAGCGAACAAGUACCGUGAGGGAAAGAUGAAAAGAACUUUGAAAAGAGAGUUAAAUAGUACGUGAAAUUGUCAAAAGGGAAGCGUUUAACACCAGUGUUGUUUUCUGAAAAUCAACCUCUGUUAGCUUUAUGCAUGUUUGUUUAGACCUAAUCAGCUAUCUUUCAUGUUCUAUUGUUUGCAGUGGUGCACUUUUCAGUUUACAGGUCAACAUCAGUUUUUUUUACCGUAAAAAGUUAAAGAAAGGUAGCUCAUGGCUCCGGUCGUGAGUGUUAUAGUCUUUUUCCUAUGCGGUAGGAGAGACUGAGGUCUGCAGUGUAGGCUAUUUGGCUAGAUACUCAGGUGCUAUGUGAUACCAUUUCAUAAACAACUUGUUGAUUAUGUUUUGUCUAUUGCAUACUCGCUUGUACUAUCAUACCUACGCUUAGGAUGUUGAGUAGCGACAUACGCAC